RNAcentral lists this ribosomal RNA (491 nucleotides) under uncultured bacterium. Its description in RNAcentral is "partial 16S ribosomal RNA". It matches the Rfam family "Bacterial small subunit ribosomal RNA", at positions 29 to 506 of the family's 1533-position model. The record is from RNAcentral.
AGUGAACGCUGGCGGUAGGCCUAACACAUGCAAGUCGAACGGCAGCACAGUAAGAGCUUGCUCUUACGGGUGGCGAGUGGCGGACGGGUGAGGAAUACAUCGGAAUCUACUUUUUUGUGGGGGAUAACGUAGGGAAACUUACGCUAAUACCGCAUACGACCUACGGGUGAAAGCAGGGGAUCUUCGGACCUUGCGCGAUUGAAUGAGCCGAUGUCGGAUUAGCUAGUUGGCGGGGUAAAGGCCCACCAAGGCGACGAUCCGUAGCUGGUCUGAGAGGAUGAUCAGCCACACUGGAACUGAGACACGGUCCAGACUCCUACGGGAGGCAGCAGUGGGGAAUAUUGGACAAUGGGCGCAAGCCUGAUCCAGCCAUACCGCGUGGGUGAAGAAGGCCUUCGGGUUGUAAAGCCCUUUUGUUGGGAAAGAAAAGCAGCAGGUUAAUACCCCGCUGUUCUGACGGUACCCAAAGAAUAAGCACCGGCUAACUUCGU